This 5536-nucleotide long non-coding RNA is filed under the name Homo sapiens (human). RNAcentral describes it as "non-protein coding lnc-TMEM206-3:2". Lineage: Eukaryota; Metazoa; Chordata; Mammalia; Primates; Hominidae. The record is from RNAcentral.
CUUGCUAAGUAAUGAAGGUGAGGAAAAGCUUAGGAAAUAUUUCUUCUCACUUAUUUCACUUCAAAAUAUGACAUUUACAAUAAAUAUAAAUAUUUCAAAAAGUGGAUUUUUCUUUACCUUCCCACUGAUUUUAAAAUUCAAUCCUACUCUUGAAUACUAAAGAGGCUCACAAUUUUGGAGUGUUAAAAUUUGGGAUUUUUAAUGCUUUUUGAUCGUCAAAACUACAUAGAAAAUCGUUUAAGUUUUUAGAUUGCAAGUCAUCAAAUAGUCUUAAAAAGAUCCAUGUGUAAAUGUAUAUUUCUAGUUUACUAGAAAGAUGUACAUAUACUAAACUUGAAGAAGUCCAUCAAUAUUUAGUAUUUAUGUUCUCAAUCCCAGGCCUAAACCCUUCUCUUAAGCUCUAGAUCUGCACUAUCCAAUAUGGAAGCCACCAGCCACUAUGACUCUCAAUUCCCAAACUUGUAUAUGCAAUGAUGGUAUCAUUGGAAUGGAUGGGGUAUGAACUAUUUUCUAAAAUUUGGGGGAUGUAUUAAUUAUUGUACAUUUAUUUAAAAUCAGUCUCAAUUCAUUAUUAUACCUCAGAUCUUAAAUUUACAUAAAUCUGAGGAACAUAAUUCUAGAGGCUUACCAUUUUUACUAUAUCAGAAUACGCUGAUUCAACAAUUACACCACGAUUAGUUGAAACAUACUCAACCAGUUCAUUCAGUGUUGCUCUUUUAAUUUCUUUGCUCUUCAAGUCUGAAACAGAGUCCAUGAAAUCAAACAGUAUACAACACUGCUGCAACUUCUGACAGAAAAGCUCUUGUUGUUCAUUUGAAGUGGCAUCUAUAAAUAAAAAUAAAGAAAAACUUAGAAAUAACCUACUCAGAAGUUACUUUUAUAUAUUUAUUAAUUUUGUAGAAGCUAUUCACAUAUGUAAAACUUCUUCCAAAAAUCUAGUGAGAAAUGUGCCCAUCUAUAACCCCAUCAUUCAGGGAUUUAUACUGGACUCUUCUCUCUCCCUCAUUACUCACAAUCAAUCAUUAAAAAAAUUUUUUUAAAGAAAUAUGGUCUUGCUACAUUGCCCAAGAUAGACUCAAACUCCUAGGCUCAUGUGAUCCUCCUGCCUCAGCCUCCAGAGUAGUGGAGAUUAUGUGCCACCAUAUCCAGCUAAUCAUUAAAUGUUACUGAUUCGGCGUCUUUAACAUAUUUGAAAUCUAUUCUUGUCAUUCCCGCUGCCAUUUCAGACUCUCACCAUGCCUCAUCUGGACUACAGCAAUGAUAUGCUAAUUGCUCCUCUUAUCUGGUCCCAUAACCAUUACCACUCCUGACUUACCCUCCAAACAACCUCAAAAUCUUGCCAAAAUGAGAAUCGGUGUGUUCAAGUUCCAUGUUUUUCAAUGAUACUCCAAUAAUUAAAUAAUAAAGUUCAAACUCCUCUCGGCUGUAUACAAAGUACAGCUGUCUACUGUCAAGAGUCAUCUCUCAACCCUUUCCAACAUGCCUCUUCAUUUUGGUUAAACCAUACUCUCUGUAGUUCCCUGAAGAUUACACAAUGUUUCCUCUGUCUGGAAUGCCCUUCUUCCCACAUUCCCACCCUGGGAACACUACCUACUUACAAAGUUUCAGCGUAAGUCCCUUCUUUUUUUUUAAUUUUUAUUUUUUUGAGACAAACUCUUGCUCUGUCGCCUGGGCUGGAGUACAGUUUUCAGAAGCUUUCCUUAUGGUACUGAAGCUAAAUUGGUUGGUUUAUCCACUUUUACCCAAAUGUGUUUUAGGUGCAUAUCUCUGUUAUAGUAUUUACUGUGCUUUACAGCAAUUAUAUUUUACAUACUCAGCACCCCUCAACUAAAAGCAGGAACCAACGGCUAGGCACAGUGGCUCACAUCUGUAAUCCCAGCAUUUUGGGAGGCCAAGGCGGGCAGAUCACUUGAGGUCAUGAGUUCGAGACCAGCCUUGCCAACAUGGCAAAACCCCGUCUCUACUAAAAAUACAAAAAUUAUCCGGGCAUGGUGGCGCAUGCCUGUAAUCCCAGCUACUCCAGAGGCUGAGGUAAGAGAAUUGCUUGAACCCAGGAGGCUGGGGUUGCAGCGAGCCGAAAUCGCACCACUGCAUUCCAGCCUGGGCAACAGAGACAACAUCUCAAUCAAUCAAUGCAGAAACCAAGUUUUACUUAUCUAAUUAUCUCUGUCUUUCUCUCUCUCUACUUCUCUUUCUCUUUCUAGUAUCUAAUACAAUGCCUGGCAUAUAAUAGGCACUCAAAAAAUGGGCCGGUGUGGUGGCUCAUGCCUGUAAUCCCAGCACUUUGGAAGGCUGAGGCAGGCGGAUGACUUGAGGUCAGGAGUUCAAGACCAGCCUAGCCAAAUGGUGAAACCCCAUCUCUACUAAAAAUACAAAAAUUAGCCAAACGUGGUGGCGGGCGCCUGUAAUCCCAGCUACUGGGAAGGCUGAGGAAGGAGAAUCACUGGAACGCAGGAGGUGGGGGUUGCAAUGAGCCGAGAUAGCGCCACUGCACUCCAGCCUGGGCCACAGAGUGAGACUCAAGUCUCGAUUUAAAAAGUUUAUUGUUUUAUAUUCUACUUAUUACAAAAAUAUGGACACACUGUAUUGAUUUGAUUCUAACAAAUGUUAAAUCCUUUUGUUUCUAACCUUCAAAACCAUAAAACUUCACUUCCGAACUUUCAUUCUAUAAACAAGGAAUUCAAUUAGUUCAAUCACUUAAGUUUACUGAACUUCUGAAAGUAAAUUUUAAAAAUCAUAUUCAACUCUGAUAUUUAUCUCAUAAUAUACAAAACUAUGCCUCUAUUCAAAACCAGUACAUACUUUAUAUAAAGAUACAGGCAGAAAUCUUCAUAAAGAUGAUAACCUAAUCAAGAAUGCCUAUGCUUCGUAAUUACUCCAGGGCAGGAAGCUAGUAAAAUUACCUUUCAAUUAUAUUCAAGUUGCUGUCCUUAAAAAAGCUGAUUUAGAUAAGGUACUGCUGAACCGUAGUAGGUCAGGUAUUCUAAGCAUGCUCACACAAAGUCACAAGACAUAAGGCACAUUCUUUUCAUUGAUCAAUUAUUAUUAAAUAAUUUUACAAUAAAACAAAUGUGGAUAUAUUACAAAGAACAGCAAAAGUCACAUGAUUUUUGAAGUAAAAAUAUGAAGACUUGAAUUUGCUGCAGUUCAUUUGUGGCUAUGCCAGUAAAAUAAGAUAGCUCCACACUUACAAAGAACUUGUAUUAACAUUUCCUGUUCCAGAAUCAAUAAUGACUCUCUGCUUUAUGAAGGUUAAAGUCUAUAAGCCUAAGAUUGGCAUUCAGAAUCCAUGUAAUAUUGACAUAUAUGACAUUUUUUACUACCAAUUUGGUAAAGUUUUUGAUUCAGGGUCACUUUUUUUUUGAGACGGAGUCUCACUCUACUGCCCAGGCUAGAGUGUGGUGGCGCGAUCUUGGCUCACUGCAACCCCUGCCUCCCAGGUUCAUGCAAUUUUCCUGCCUCAGCCUCCCAAGUAGCUGGGAUUACAGGCCUGCACCACCACGCCCAGCUAAUUUUUGUAUUUUUUUUAAUAGAGAUGAAGUUUCACCAUGUUGGCCAGCCUGGCCUCAAACUCCUGACCUCAAAUGAUCCGCCUGCCUCGGCCUCCCAAAGUGCUGGGAUUACAGGUGUGAGCCACCUCACCCUGAUUCAGGAUCACCUUUUAUGGAACUGUUCUUAAGUGGGAAUAUUUUUAUGUAUCCUUAAAAAAAAAAAAAACAUUGAAUUUGCAACUAUUUUUAAUACUAAGUAAUAUGCUAAACAGUUAUCUUUAUCCCAGAAUUAAAAUUCAUUCUAUUGGGGGUGAAAAUGAACCACUAGCCAACAUACAUGCUACACAUAACCAGCAGUCUUAUGUUUACUACCUUUUUUUAAUCCCAAAAUGGCCAUUAGUCAUUCUAAGCAGAAUCUGCUUCUUCUCUGUAAAAUCAGUUGUAUCUUGAAUGGCCCUUUUCUUAAAUCUUCUGGGGCUUUUUACCCUUAAAGUUAAAAUGGUUAUGUGCAUUUAAUUUUCAUUAAUAAAUGAUGUCUGCUAAUAAUUUAUUUCAACUAACAAAAAGAUGUCUGCUUGAUAUUGGUACUUAGUUUGAAAAUUAGAAGAUGGACACCUCUGCUUAUGUAUGUACUACACACUAAACGAGAUACAUGUUGACUAUGUGGGCUAUAAGAAUCCUUCUCAAUCCAUAGUGUACAGGAAAUCCCCAUAGUUCUCUCAGUUAUUCAGUAAUAUCUUUAUACAGUUAUCUAUUUUCAAAGAUAUCUAUAUCCCUAAUAUAUGGCUUUAUUUUAUAAUAUAUAUCUUUAUAAUUAAUAUAAAUUCCAUAAUGAUGACUUGGUGAAACAGUUGCCAUAUCUUGAGAGGCUGCGUUCUAAAAGAGUUUUAAGAUAUAUUUUAGCCCUUUUUCCCUAACGCUAAUAGUAAUACAAACUCACACAAGAUCCCACUUCAAUUAUGUGAUCACCUUAUACCGCCAGUCCUAUUCUCUCCUUCCUCCCACUACCACCUCCUCAAUGUGAAUGAAACCAGCCCUCUUAUUCUCUGAAGGCCGUGUCUUUGUUCAAAGUCUUUUCCCUACCUGAAAUACUUCACUAGAUUUCCUCCCCUAUCUUUCCAUAUCCUACUUGCCCUUUAAGAACAAACUUAAUCUCACAUUCUCCACAAAAUUUCCCUUAGGUAGGUCAGGAUACAAUGAUCUCUCCCAUCUCUCAUGAUCUAUAGUGUUCACAACUUCAAUUACGUAUUUGAGUACCCAUUAUCUUUAGGCCUAUAUUCAACAGAUGUUUCUUUCAUCAACCACCAAAAGAUUUCAGGCUCCUCAAGGGGAAGGAUUAUUCACUGAGCAGGGUUUCCUUUUUAUUUCUUUUUUAUCUAGGGUAGGGUAUAUAAGGAGUUAAUAAAUAUUUAUUUGAUGCUUGAAAAAACUCUGAAUUUGAAGAAUAAGAUACUGCACUGAAAUACAGUCUACUGAACAAGGAGAAGUUCAAAAUUGGUGCUGGAUAUCAACAGCGACAUAAAUAAUGAAUUAUUACAACAUGGCUAUGUUUAAGAAUUAAUCAUGCCAGGUGCGGUGGCUCAUGCUUGUAAUCCCAGCACUUUGGGAGGCCGAGGUGGGUGGAUCACAAGGUAAGAAGAUCAAGACCAUCCUAGCUAACAUGGUGAAACCCUGUCUCUACUAAAAGUAACAAAAAAUUAGCCGGGCAUGGUGGCAGGCACCUGUAGUCCCAGCUACUCAGGAGGCUGAGGCAGAAGAAUGGCGUGAACCCGGGAGGCAGAGCUUGCAGUGAGCCCAGAUUGUGCCACUGCACUCCAGCCUGGGGGACAGAGCAAGAAGACUCUGUCUCAAAAAAAAAAAAAAAAUUAAUCAUAAUGACCAUUUUUAUCAACAAUCUACCUUGAUGGUAGAAUUAAAUGGAUUGAGAUAACAAUCAUGAAGAUGAGUGCAUAUAUUUCAAGGUGAAAUACAAAUGGAAAGUAUGUUUUUCUAACACUACAGGCUAAGUAGCCUGUGGCCAGCAAAAAAGAAGACACAAAAUGACU